Molecule: transfer RNA, 56 nt
Filed under: Psoroptes ovis (sheep scab mite)
Lineage: Eukaryota; Metazoa; Arthropoda; Arachnida; Sarcoptiformes; Psoroptidae
Description: tRNA-Gly
Source: RNAcentral
AGUUUUUUAGUAUAUAUAGUAUAAUUAAGUUCCAAUUAAUAGGAGAUAAAAAACUA